Molecule: long non-coding RNA, 1763 nt
Organism: Papaver somniferum (opium poppy)
Lineage: Eukaryota; Viridiplantae; Streptophyta; Magnoliopsida; Ranunculales; Papaveraceae
Exons: 3
Source: RefSeq, a predicted model, not a curated record
CCCCAAAUACUAAAACCCACUGAUUCCUUCUUUCACAUUCAAAAUCCUUAUCAUGAAGCAUAAACCAGAAAGGAGCAUUAGAAUCAAACAAAACCAGAUCCAAUUAACCCGUAUGAUUAUAUAUGUGAAAGUAAAUCGAUGAAUUUGACGAUCAAACAAAACCAGUUCUAGGGUUUAUAAAGAUUGAAGCAUCUCUUUCAUGGCAGGUUCAUUGGGUUUUGAUUCUCAAUUCAUUUUCAUUUUGUUAUGAAGAAAUCUAGCCGAUGUAGAGUUUUGAUUCGAAUUUGAGUUUACAUGGAAGGAAUCAAGCUGACGUCGUUUGAUCAAUGAACUGUGUAGCCUAAGGUGUGUUUUGAGGUUUGGGAAAGAUGGGCCAGAAGUGUAUCAAGAAAAAGAAAAAACCAGUGAAAGAUCAAUGUGAUUGAAAUAAUAAGUUGGGGUUGGGUAUGAUUUUGAUUAAUUGUGAUAAACAGAUGCUGGUAUCGAGAUUCGGUAAUCACUUUAGAUUUGGUAUAACCCUCUGUGUCUAACUGCAUAUGUUUUUGUCAAAACAGGUGAGCCAUUUAGUUGGGUAUUAGUAGAUCCUUACAAAUCUGGGAGCCUGGCUUACGUCCAUACGUCAAGACUGGUAAAGUUGCAGACUCGAUGUUCCUCAUUUUUGCGCUCUUUUCAGAGUGGAUUAAAAAUAACAAAAUUUGUUAGAGGACUUUUCUCUCUGGUAGUACUGGUUAGUUUUGGAAUGAUCCCAGCACUUGUAAUUGGAUGGGUUAAUUUAAUUGAUAUCAGAUGGUGGUGGGUAAUUGAAUUUGAGAUGAAAGUUCUUGAAGAGAAAUUCUACAGCAAAAAUGCCAAGAAGAAAUUGAUAAAGUCCGAGAUGGUUGGAUUGUUUUACCGGAUGAAUUAAACGGCUGCAGUAUCAGUAACAUGGAUGGAUUUGAUUUCUGGGGUUAAUUGAAGUUUUGGUGUGAAAAGGCGAUCAUACUGGUGUCGGAGAUGGAGAAGAACACUAGUGGGGUAUUUCAGGGAGAUCAUGAAAAACAUGUACAAUCUACUAAUGACGGGAGGAAAUAGGGGUGCACAUAUCCUAUCCAUACCCGCCAAUCCUACCCUACCCGCCAGUGUUGUAACCUUAUCCUAUCCUACCCAUUAUUUGGCGGGUAGGGUGACGGUUAGAGAUUUUUUUACCCGCCGUUAAAUGGGUAGGAUGACGGGUAAAGCACGAAAUUACCCUACUCUACCCGCCUACCCGUCUAAUACUGAAAAGACAAAGUACCCUUGUAUUGUUUUCUCCUCCUGCCUAUUUUUUGUUAUUUUAAAACAUAUUAGGGGUAAAAGACAAAGUAACCCUUGAAUGGAUUUCACUUUCUAUCGAACCAUUUCAUCUAUUUUUCAUUCGCACCAUUUCUCUCUUUUCAUUCGAACCAUUUCAUCUCCUCGUCAUUGCAGUAGCGAAGUGAAGUCUGGGUUUCGAUCUGAAGAUGAAGAUGUAAGUGAUUUGUGUGUUCGAUUUGUGUAUCGUUAUGUGUUUGAAUCUAUUUUUUGCUCAUCUCAAUCCACUUUCUUAUCUCUGCAUAAGAGAAUUUAAGGUUUCAGGCUGCAAGUGCAGUUUGAGGUUUUUGGGGUUUCGAUCUGAAGAUAUAUUUCUUAAGAGAAACGAUGUUGGUGACCAUUUUCCCUCACUUGCAAUCUGCUUAGGCUUUGAACUGUUAAGUACCGUUAUCAGAUUUAUUUGGUGAUCUUAGUACUUAUUCCAUCAUCGUAGA